GUCCACGCUGUAAACGAUGUCAACUAGCUGUUGGGUGUAUAGAUGCACUUAGUGGCGCAGCUAACGCACUAAGUUGACCGCCUGGGGAGUACGGUCGCAAGAUUAAAACUCAAAGGAAUUGACGGGGGCCCGCACAAGCGGUGGAGCAUGUGGUUUAAUUCGAUGCAACGCGAAGAACCUUACCUACCCUUGACAUACCACGAAUCAUUUAGAGAUAGAUGAGUGCCUUCGGGAGCGUGGAUACAGGUGCUGCAUGGCU
RNAcentral lists this ribosomal RNA (259 nucleotides) under uncultured bacterium. RNAcentral describes it as "partial 16S ribosomal RNA". It matches the Rfam family "Bacterial small subunit ribosomal RNA", at positions 793 to 1050 of the family's 1533-position model. The record is from RNAcentral.